RNAcentral lists this ribosomal RNA (196 nucleotides) under uncultured bacterium. Its description in RNAcentral is "partial 16S ribosomal RNA". It matches the Rfam family "Bacterial small subunit ribosomal RNA", at positions 328 to 539 of the family's 1533-position model. The record is from RNAcentral.
ACGCUCGACACCUACGGGAGGCAGCAGUGGGGAAUAUUGCACAAUGGGGGAAACCCUGAUGCAGCGACGCCGCGUGGAGGAAGAAGGUCUUCGGAUUGUAAACUCCUGUUGUUGGGGAAAAAGAGGAUGGUACCCAACAAGGAAGUGACGGCUAACUACGUGCCAGCAGCCGGUAAUCUGAGCGGGCUGGCAAGGC